GUUUUGGGGGUCAGUUUUGGGGUUUUUGGGGUCGGUUUUGGGGUUCUGGUUUUUGGGGUCGGUUUUGGGGUCAGUUUUGGGUUUGGGGGUCAGUUUUAGGGUCAGUUUUGGGGUCAGUUUUGGGGUUUUUAGGGUGGUUUGGGGGUCAGUUUGGGUUUUUUUUGGGGUGUUUUUGGGUUUUGGGGUUGGUUUGGGGGUUUUUGGGUUUUGGGGUCAGUUUUGGGUUUUGGGGUCAGUUUUGGGGUCAGUUUUGGGGUCGGUUUUGGUGUUUUAGGGUCAGUUUUGGGCUCAGUUUGGGGGUUUUUUUGGGGGUGUUUUUGGGUUUUGGGGUCGGUUUUGGUGUUUUAGGGUCAGUUUUGGGCUCAGUUUGGGGGUUUUUGGGGUGGUUUUGGGGUUUUUGGGGUCGGUUUUGGGUUUUGGGGUCAGUUUUGGGGUCAGUUUUGGGUUUUGGGGUCAGUUUUGGGGUUCUGGUUUUUGGGGUCGGUUUUGGGGUCAUUUGGGGGGUUUUUGGGGCCUCACCGCCAGCAGCUGGUUCUCGGUGAGGUUCCAGAAGCUCUUCCAGAAGCCGACCUCCAGGUUUUGGGUCAGGCGCUCGAAUUCGGCCCCGCGCAGCUCCGGGUCCAGGGCGUAGCGGCCCCCCGAGAACAGCGAGCCCGCCGCCGCGCCUGCCCCAUAGCGACCCACAAGUGACCCACAAGUGACCCAUAGCGACCCACAAGUGACCCACAAGUGACCCAUAACUAACCCAUAAGUGACCCAUAAGUGACUCACAGUGACCCACAAGUGACCCACAACUGACCCAUAGCGCCCCAUAAGUGACCCAGAACUGACCCAGAACUGACCCACAAGUGACCCAUAAGUGACCCACAAGUGACCCAUAAGUGACCCAUAAGUGACUCAUAAGUGACCCAUAGCGCCCCAUAACUAACCCAGAACUGACCCAUAAGUGACCCACAAGUGACCCAUAAGUGACCCAUAACUAACCCAGAACUGACCCACAACUGACCCAUAAGUGACCCAUAGCGACCCAUAAGUAAGGGACCCAGAAGUGACCCAUAAGUGACCCACAAGUGACCCAUAACUAACCCCUAAGUGACCCAUAAGUGACCCAUAGCGACCCAUAACUAACUCAGAACUGACCCAUAAGUGACCUAUAGCGCCCCAUAAGUGACCCACAAGUGACCCAUAAGGGACUGAUAAGUGACCCAUAACUAACCCCUAAGUGACCCAUAAGUAAGGGACUCAUAAGUGACCCAUAAGUGACCCAUGACCCCAUACAGACCCAUAAGUGACCCCUAAGUGACCCCUAAGUGACCCACAAGUGACUCAUAAGUGACCCACAACUGACCCAUAAGUGACCCAUAGCGCCCCAUAACUAACCCAGA
This 1385-nucleotide long non-coding RNA is filed under the name Anas platyrhynchos platyrhynchos (common mallard). RNAcentral's name for it is "lncRNA (ENSAPLG00000028915.1)". The record is from RNAcentral. Lineage: Eukaryota; Metazoa; Chordata; Aves; Anseriformes; Anatidae.